GUUAGAUUGUAGAUCAAGGGUAAGUCUAACCUUCAAUAAAAGAAUUUACAAAAAUAAACAGAUAAAUGAUUCAUGCAGCUAAAGCCACCUAAUAACUAUAUGAUAAUUGAUCAAAUUUUGUUUUUCUAGCCAAUAACGGCAUCCUUACCUCCUCCUAUCUACAAUGAUUAACAGAAGUGCAAAACUUCAUAAGUUGAGAAAUUAGGACUAAGGUCUGAUAUUGAUUACACCCCUUAAAUAUUCUUUUUACUAACUGAAAGGCUGGACAUAGUAUGCAUUAUACCAUUAAUGCUACUUCACCAAGAAAAUAUCCAACAAAAUUUAAACCAUG
This 331-nucleotide unclassified non-coding RNA is filed under the name Hevea brasiliensis (rubber tree). The record is from RNAcentral. Lineage: Eukaryota; Viridiplantae; Streptophyta; Magnoliopsida; Malpighiales; Euphorbiaceae.